GAUGAACGCUAGCUACAGGCUUAACACAUGCAAGUCGAGGGGCAGCAUGAUUGAAGCUUGCUUCAAUUGAUGGCGACCGGCGCACGGGUGAGUAACACGUAUCCAACCUUCCGUACACUCAGGGAUAGCCUUUCGAAAGAAAGAUUAAUACCUGAUGGUAUCUUAAGCACACAUGUAAUUAAGAUUAAAGAUUUAUCGGUGUACGAUGGGGAUGCGUUCCAUUAGGUAGUAGGCGGGGUAACGGCCCACCUAGCCUACGAUGGAUAGGGGUUCUGAGAGGAAGGUCCCCCACAUUGGAACUGAGACACGGUCCAAACUCCUACGGGAGGCAGCAGUGAGGAAUAUUGGUCAAUGGACGAGAGUCUGAACCAGCCAAGUAGCGUGAAGGAUGAAGGUCCUACGGAUUGUAAAACUUCUUUUAUAAGGGAAUAAAACCUCCCACGUGUGGGAGCUUGUAUGUACCUUAUGAAUAAGCAUCGGCUAACUCCGUGCCAGCAGCC
Molecule: ribosomal RNA, 500 nt
Filed under: uncultured bacterium
Lineage: Bacteria
Description: bacterial SSU rRNA
Rfam family: Bacterial small subunit ribosomal RNA
Source: RNAcentral